Molecule: ribosomal RNA, 371 nt
Filed under: uncultured bacterium
Lineage: Bacteria
Description: bacterial SSU rRNA
Rfam family: Bacterial small subunit ribosomal RNA
Source: RNAcentral
GGGGGGGGCAAGCGUUGUUCGGAAUUACUGGGCGUAAAGGGCUCGUAGGCGGCCAACUAAGUCAGACGUGAAAUCCCUCAGCUUAACUGGGGAACUGCGUCUGAUACUGGAUGGCUUGAGAUUGGGAGAGGGAUGCGGAAUUCCAGGUGUAGCGGUGAAAUGCGUAGAUAUCUGGAGGAACACCGGUGGCGAAGGCGGCAUCCUGGACCAACACUGACGCUGAGGAGCGAAAGCCAGGGGAGCAAACGGGAUUAGAUACCCCGGUAGUCCUGGCCCUAAACGAUGAAUGCUUGGUGUGGCGGGUAUCGAUCCCUGCCGUGCCGAAGCUAACGCAUUAAGCAUUCCGCCUGGGGAGUACGGUCGCAAGGCUG